GCUGGGUGCAGAGGCGCAUGCCUGUAAUCCCAGUGACUCAGGAGGCUGAGACAGGAGGACUACAAGUUUGAGGCCGCCCUUAGGGAGACCCUGUCUCAA
RNAcentral lists this small RNA (99 nucleotides) under Marmota monax (woodchuck). Lineage: Eukaryota; Metazoa; Chordata; Mammalia; Rodentia; Sciuridae. The record is from RNAcentral.